UCUGGUUAAUUCCGUUGACGAACGAGACCUUAACCUGCUAAAUAGGAUCAAGAACACAGUUUAUUGUUGUGUUUUUGUAUCACUUCUUAGAGGGACUUUGCGUNUCUAACGCAAGGAAGUUUGAGGCAAUAACAGGUCUGUGAUGCCCUUAGAUGUUCUGGGCUGCACGCGCGCUACACUGAUGCAUCCAACAAGUA
This 197-nucleotide ribosomal RNA is filed under the name Sarcocystis hominis. RNAcentral's name for it is "partial 18S ribosomal RNA". It matches the Rfam family "Eukaryotic small subunit ribosomal RNA", at positions 1314 to 1521 of the family's 1831-position model. The record is from RNAcentral. Lineage: Eukaryota; Apicomplexa; Conoidasida; Eucoccidiorida; Sarcocystidae.